This 533-nucleotide ribosomal RNA is filed under the name uncultured Citrobacter sp. RNAcentral describes it as "partial 16S ribosomal RNA". The record is from RNAcentral. Lineage: Bacteria; Pseudomonadati; Pseudomonadota; Gammaproteobacteria; Enterobacterales; Enterobacteriaceae.
GCGGAGUACUUAAUGCGUUAGCUGCGGCACCGAGGGGGGUAACCCCCGACACCUAGUACUCAUCGUUUACGGCGUGGACUACCAGGGUAUCUAAUCCUGUUUGCUCCCCACGCUUUCGUGCCUCAGUGUCAGUUACAGUCCAGAGAGCCGCCUUCGCUACUGGUAUUCCUCCUAAUAUCUACGCAUUUCACCGCUACACUAGGAAUUCUACUCUCCUCUCCUGCACUCAAGUUCUCUAGUUUCAAAAGCUUACUACGGUUGAGCCGUAGCCUUUCACUUCUGACUUAAAAAACCACCUACGCACCCUUUACGCCCAGUAAUUCCGGAUAACGCUAGCCCCCUACGUAUUACCGCGGCUGCUGGCACGUAGUUAGCCGGGGCUUCCUCCUCAAGUACCGUCAUUAUCUUCCUUGAGGACAGAGCUUUACGACCCGAAGGCCUUCAUCGCUCACGCGGCGUUGCUGCAUCAGGCUUUCGCCCAUUGUGCAAUAUUCCCCACUGCUGCCUCCCGUAGGAGUCUGGACCGUGUCUCA